AUUGAACGCUGGCGGCAGGCCUAACACAUGCAAGUCGAGCGGAUGAAGGGAGCUUGCUCCUGGAUUCAGCGGCGGACGGGUGAGUAAUGCCUAGGAAUCUGCCUGGUAGUGGGGGAUAACGUCCGGAAACGGGCGCUAAUACCGCAUACGCCCUGAGGGAGAAAGUGGGGGAUCUUCGGACCUCACGCUAUCAGAUGAGCCUAGGUCGGAUUAGCUAGUUGGUGGGGUAAAGGCCUACCAAGGCGACGAUCCGUAACUGGUCUGAGAGGAUGAUCAGUCACACUGGAACUGAGACACGGUCCAGACUCCUACGGGAGGCAGCAGUGGGGAAUAUUGGACAAUGGGCGAAAGCCUGAUCCAGCCAUGCCGCGUGUGUGAAGAAGGUCUUCGGACUGUAAAGCACUUUAAGUUGGGAGGAAGGGCAGUAAGUUAAUACCUUGCUGUUUUGACGUUACCAACAGAAUAAGCACCGGCUAACUUCGUG
RNAcentral lists this ribosomal RNA (484 nucleotides) under uncultured bacterium. RNAcentral's name for it is "partial 16S ribosomal RNA". It matches the Rfam family "Bacterial small subunit ribosomal RNA", at positions 30 to 507 of the family's 1533-position model. The record is from RNAcentral.